CUCACCGAGGCCCACCUCCGGUGCCCCUCUUCUGGUAUAUAAGUCAUUUUUACCUAGAAGAAAGGAAGAGAGGACUUUCUGGACGAAGCGCCGCCUUCUCGAGGUGGAAGUUGGGCAGGAGCACUUUUGCCCUCUGGCGGAGUGAUUCCGCCGGGGGAACUUCCCUCCCGGAGUGGGAAGUCUUCGUCAUCAUCAUCACCAAGAACUCUCCCAUCUUAGGGAGGGAUAUCUUCAUCAACAUCUUCAACAACACCAAAUCCUCUCAAACCCUAGUUCAUCUCUUGUGUUCAAUCUUUGUACCGAAAAUAUAGAUUGGUGCUUGUGGGUGACUAGUAGUGUUGAUUACAUCUUGUAGUUGAUUACUAUAUGGUUUAUUUGGUGGAAGAUUAUAUGUUCAGAUCCAUUAUGCUAUUUAAUACCCCUCUGAUCUUGAGCAUGAUUAUAAUUUGCGAAUAGUUACUAUUGUUCUUGAGGUCACGGGAGAAAUCAUGUUGUAAGUAAUCAUGUGAACUGGAUAUGUGUUCGAUAUUUUGAUGAUAUGUAUGUUGUGAUUCCCUUAGUGGUGUCAUGUGAACGUUGACUACAUGACACUUCACCAUAUUUGGGCCUAAGGGAAUGCAUUU
RNAcentral lists this long non-coding RNA (623 nucleotides) under Hordeum vulgare. RNAcentral describes it as "long non-coding RNA (HVUL_LNC000621)". The record is from RNAcentral. Lineage: Eukaryota; Viridiplantae; Streptophyta; Magnoliopsida; Poales; Poaceae.